CCUUCGAUAGCUCAGUUGGAAGAGCGUGGGACUGUAAUGGAUAACCUAAACCCUCGGGCAUCCCAAGGUCGCUGGUUCGAACCCGGCUCGAAGGA
Molecule: non-coding RNA, 95 nt
Organism: Trametes cingulata
Lineage: Eukaryota; Fungi; Basidiomycota; Agaricomycetes; Polyporales; Polyporaceae
Source: the annotation of a GenBank genome assembly